UCUUGGUCCAUUUAGAGGAAGUAAAAGUCGUAACAAGGUCUCCGUUGGUGAACCAGCGGAGGGAUCAUUACUGAGUUUGCCCGGCUCAAUCAACCCCUGCGAACCUAUACCGUACGUUGCUUCGGCGGGCCUGUCCCUGGAGCGUGGCAUGGCGGAUCCCCCCCAGGGGAGGGCGGCACUGGUCGCCCACCCCCUGGCGGUGUGUCCCCCGCCGCGCCCCCCGGGACCCUGCCCGGCCCGCCGGUCGAAACCCCCCGAACAGCCUGAGAGGCGAAGUUUUUCUGAGUCUUUAGUGGGAACGAGUCAAAACUUUCAACAAUGGAUCUCUUGGUUCUGGCAUCGAUGAAGAACGCAGCGAAAUGCGAUAAGUAAUGUGAAUUGCAGAAUUCAGUGAAUCAUCGAAUCUUUGAACGCACAUUGCGCCCGCCAGCACUCUGGCGGGCAUGCCUGUCCGAGCGUCGUCACACCCCUCAAGCCCCCCCGCGCUUGGUGUUGGGGACCGGCCGCCCGCGCCCCCUCGCUCGCCGAGGGACGGGGCGGCCGCCCCCUAAAUCGAUCGGCGGCGGCGUCGCGGCCACCCUCUGCGUAGUAGUUAGCACACCUGCAUCACCUCGCACCGGGAGCUCGGCGCCGCCACGGCCGUAAAACCCCCCAAACUUUCUCAUGAGUUGACCUCGGAUCAGGUAGGGAUACCCGCUGAACUUAAGCAUAUCAA
RNAcentral lists this ribosomal RNA (715 nucleotides) under Moelleriella turbinata. RNAcentral describes it as "eukaryotic LSU rRNA". The stretch from base 308 to 461 matches the Rfam family "5.8S ribosomal RNA". The record is from RNAcentral. Lineage: Eukaryota; Fungi; Ascomycota; Sordariomycetes; Hypocreales; Clavicipitaceae.